Osmia lignaria (orchard mason bee) is the source of this 2857-nucleotide long non-coding RNA. RefSeq lists it as uncharacterized. NCBI's taxonomy places the organism in Eukaryota, Metazoa, Arthropoda, Insecta, Hymenoptera, Megachilidae. The record is from RefSeq and is a predicted model, not a curated record.
ACUGGGGUACCGCAUACCCUCAAAAUGGCCACCCAUCGGUAACAAAAGCAUGACCAGUCUUAUUGGAUUUGUAGUUACUGGGUUAUGUGUCAAAGCAGAGCACAUAACCUAAUCAAUCCUUGCAUAUCCAAAUCAGUACAAUAUUCAAAUACUAAAUCAACCUUUAAUAUAAAGAAGAUCCUGUAAUAGCCACACACCACGAUCAAGGAAAGGAACAAAAGAAUUAAAGAUUUAAUUGCAAGAAAACAGGAGAGCAGAAGAAGCACAAGAGUAAGAACAAGGGCUCAAGUAUUAAGUAUUGAAAAUAUUUCAAUAGACAAGUUCUAAUAAACAAAAGUCACAGUCACUUCAACCCUCAGCACCCUGAGUGAAAAGUUAUGUAGACAGGGCAGAACCACAACUUAAGAAGGGCUGGAUAUCAACAUAAUGCAUCGACAGGAUGAGCUGUCAGAAGGAGCAAGAGCCUGAGGGUUAGGGUUAGGGUUAGGGUUAUGAAUUAUCCCUACACAAAUUUGGUUUAGAACAAUGUUAAUACCUUAAUAACAGCAAUAGCAACAAUCAUGAUUGUAGUUAGCCAAGAACAAAAGGCAGCAUUUACCAUUUAUAAAAUAUGAGCAGACAGACUGUGUUUAACAAGCGAGUAAUAAUACAAUAAAAUAAAGCAGAAUAAGUAACUGCAACAGUGUUCAGAGAUGUGCCCACAUCAUUAUGUACAAGACAUAAACUGGUAGGUAAAUAAUAAGUAAAAUCGACAGAUAAAUAAGAUGAAAGAAAUAAAAAUAGAAACCCGAGUCUAGGGGUUACAACAGAAACCUCACAAAGGUACGUAGAUUAAAAUAAACAUAUUACAUUUAAUACAUACAGAAGUAGCCUAUACUCUAGAUUUCCUUAAAAACAUAGCCAACAAUGCAAUCUCAGCAACAAUGCCAAGACAAAAUUGGCUAAAAUAAUGCAUACUUGACAGGGACAGAACAUAAACAUAAUCAUAGAUUGGUAAAACAGAAAUCUAACUUAAUAAAGUGAAAUGUAAAUCCGCUACAGUUACUCCCUUCCGAGCAUUUGCUAAAUUAUUUUAAAUAUUAAAUGUAAUUUUUUUUUUCUCUUUAGGUCCAGGAUAUGUUCUUAAAGUUUCUUGUCUUUGAGUUGAUGAGGUUCCAAAUAAAUUCUCAUCAUUAGAAUCAUCCAAAAAACUUACCAAAUAAGCUAGUUUUAGUCUCUGUGUAGAAACACUAUUGGUUGUCCAUUUACCUUGAUAACAAAACUCUACACAAAGGCCUUUCUAAAACUUCAGAGGGACCCUCAUAUGAAGGAGCUAGAGGUGGCUUAACACAAUCUGAAUAUAAAAAGACAUGAGAACUUUGUAGAAUUGGAAACAAAAAUACCAUCUUUUUAAUAUGAUGAACAGUUAUCAGAGGUUUUAAAAAUUUCAAAUGUCCUCUUAAAUUUUGUAAGAAGAUCUUGCGAUUAACUGGAGGUUCUUCAUCCAAAAAGAUUUCUUCAGGUAAUCUCAACACAGAUCUAUAAACUAUCUUUGAAGGGAGAAACUCCGAUGUCUUCCUUGUUAACUGUUCUUACGAUUAAACCUAAUAAAACUGUCGGUAAAAUUUCUUUAGUUCUGUAACAAGAAAUUACUGCCUUUAAUGAUCUAUGCUAGCGUUUAAUCAUUCCAUGCGAAGUUGGAUGAUAGGCAGUAGUCCUUAUACCGUUGAAUCCAACUAUUUCGGCUAAAGUUUUAAAAACUUCCGAUUCAAAUUGACUUCUUCUAUCAGUUGUAAUAGUAACUGGUGCACCAAAUCUUGAUACCCAAGUCGAAAAGAAAGUAGUAGCAACUGUUGUAGCUGAAGUUUUUUAAAUUGGAAUAGCCUCAGGCCAACGUGUAAAUUUGUCAAUCAUGGUUAAAUAAUAACGAAACUGUUUACAAAUUGGUAAUGGGCCAACAAUGUCUAUAUGAACAUGAUAAAACCUCCCCUCUGGAACAAGUAUACGUUUUCGGAAUGUUCUGACAUGGAAUGCAAGUGCGUACCCAUUCAGCCGUUUCUUUUAAUAUUUCUGGCCAAAUAAAUCUUUGAGACAAAAGUUUUUUUGUCAUUCUACUUCCAGGAUGAGUUAAAUUAUGAACAACUUGGAAAACUUUCUUUCUCAAAAUUUUAGGAACAUAUGGUCUGAUAUUUUUUCCGACAAUAUUACAAAAUACUUUAGUAUUUGAAUCACCAAUUCUCAAUUUUCUUUAAGUUCUUCAUCAACCUGUUGUGCUUCUGCCAACUCUUCGGUAGUGACCACAAUAGGCAUGUCAAUAGUUUCUACUCAUGAAAAUGAAUCUGCAACAAUGUUUUCGUUUCCACGAACAAAAAUAAUUUUUGUUGAAAAUUGACCAAUAAUAUGUAGAUGUUGAAGUUGACGAGUUGAUGCUUUUGAUGAUUUUUGUUGCAAAGCAAAAAUUAAAGGUAUUUAUGGUUAGUUUGAAUAGUUAAGUCUCUUCCGUCAAUCAUGUAUCUGAAAAAUUUAAUCCCUCAAUAAAUUGCUAAUUAUUCCCGAUCGUGUAUACUAUAAUUCUUUUGAGAAUUGCUGAAUUUUUGUGAGAGAAAUCCUAAAGGUUGCCAAACUGCAUCGACCAACUGCUCAAGUGUAGCAUCCAUGGCUGCAUCAGAAGCAUCGGUUUUUAAAGUUAAAGGAGCAUUAUCUAAGGGACGCGAUAAUAAUGUCGCCGAAAUUAAUUGCUUCUUUGUUUCUUCAAAAGCUUCAAUUUGUUCCUUGGACCAAUUAAUAAUUCUUUUAUCUUUUUUUCUUCGCAACAGCUAAUAGAGAAUGUAGUGGAGCUUGAAUUUGUGCAGUAAGAGGAAUAAAUCUUCUAUAAAAA